CCUGGAGGCUUAGAUGGUCAAGAAUCUGCCUGCAACGCAGGAGACCCAGGUUCGAUCCCUGGGUCAGGA
This 69-nucleotide transfer RNA is filed under the name Bos taurus (domestic cattle). It matches the Rfam family "tRNA". Rfam says of the family: Transfer RNA (tRNA) molecules are approximately 80 nucleotides in length. Their secondary structure includes four short double-helical elements and three loops (D, anti-codon, and T loops). Lineage: Eukaryota; Metazoa; Chordata; Mammalia; Artiodactyla; Bovidae. The record is from Rfam by way of RNAcentral. RNAcentral also lists the same sequence under 1 other name.